AGCAGCCGCGGUAAUUCCAGCUCCAAUAGCGUAUAUUAAAGUUGUUGCAGUUAAAAAGCUCGUAGUUGAAUUUUGAGAUGGGUUGACCGGUCCGCCUCACCGCGUGCACUGGCUCGGUCCGUCUUUUCCUUCCGGGGAACCCCAUGCCCUUCGCUGGGUGUGUGGGGGAACCGGGACUUUUACUGUGAAAAAAUCAGAAAGCUUCAAUUGGGCCUUCGCUUGAAUGCUUCAGCAUGGAAUAAUGGAAUAGGACGUGCGUCUCUAUUUUGUUGGUUUCUAGGGACGCCGUAAUGAUUAAUAGGGAUAGUCGGGGGCAUCAGUAUUCAAUUGUCAGAGGUGAAAUUCUUGGAUUUAUUGAAGACUAACUACUGCGAAAGCAUUUGCCAAGGAUGUUUUCAUUAAUCAGUGAACGAAAGUUAGGGGAUCGAAGACGAUCAGAUACCGUCGUAGUCUUAACCGUAAACUAUGCCGACUAGGGAUCGGACGAUGUUAUUAUUUUGACUCGUUCG
RNAcentral lists this ribosomal RNA (509 nucleotides) under uncultured Ascomycota. Its description in RNAcentral is "SSU rRNA". It matches the Rfam family "Eukaryotic small subunit ribosomal RNA", at positions 569 to 1082 of the family's 1831-position model. Lineage: Eukaryota; Fungi; Ascomycota. The record is from RNAcentral.